AGAGUUCGAUUCUGGCUCAGGAUGAACGCUGGCGGCGUGCUUAACACAUGCAAGUCGAACGAAGCACUUCAUAAAGUUUACUUUAAGAAGUGACUUAGUGGCGGACGGGUGAGUAACGCGUGGGUAACCUGCCUUACACAGGGGGAUAACAGUUAGAAAUGACUGCUAAUACCGCAUAAAACAGCAGAGUCGCAUGACUCAACUGUCAAAGAUUUAUCGGUGUAAGAUGGACCCGCGUCUGAUUAGCUAGUUGGUGGGGUAACGGCCUACCAAGGCGACGAUCAGUAGCCGGCCUGAGAGGGUGAACGGCCACAUUGGGACUGAGACACGGCCCAA
RNAcentral lists this ribosomal RNA (336 nucleotides) under uncultured bacterium. RNAcentral's name for it is "bacterial SSU rRNA". It matches the Rfam family "Bacterial small subunit ribosomal RNA", at positions 8 to 334 of the family's 1533-position model. The record is from RNAcentral.